UGGAAUCCCAGAGUGCUACAGGUUGGUAACAUCUGGUCACACUCAGGAACACCUGGGUUGGUCUAUCUAACCGCCUGAGUGACAAUAUACUACUAAUGGAGACCCCCACCACCACCACAACCCUGCCCAAUCCCAGGAUGGAGCCCAGAGCACCACUAUGCCUUAUCCCCAGUGUCACAGUCUGGUUAGACAGAAGACAAUAUCUUCUACCAGACCUGUGACUUAAUUCUUAGACCAGGGGUGACCUGCUUCUAAUCCCUUGAGGGGGGCAAGGGGAUGAUUCUCACGAGCUGGGUCACUCCAGUGUGCUGGCAAUGGAUUUUCUUUGUUACUCCGAUGUGUGAUGAGGCAGGAGGCAUGAAAAGCCACACAAGUCUGACUUUGACAUUGGUCAGUGAGUUUUCUGUGACCCUGUUCAGAAAUGAAGUCUGAAGGAUAGAAGGGCUCCCAGUCUCAGCUGGUCCAGGAAAGCGAUGGGCAUUUUGGGAUGAUGUUAAAGUGCGCAAGCUCAAGGACCCUUUCCAGUUCCAAAGCCCUCUGUCUCUGCUCCAUGAUGAAGAUUGGUGCCAGAUUCCUCCAGCUGGCCCAACUUCCAUGGCAACCGCUGACCCUGGAGGUUUGGUUUCAGAUGGGAGCUGCCCGAGGAGCUUGUCUUCAUUACAGAACAUGAUCCCUCAAGUCUUCAACCCAGCAAUUAUGGGUCUUGAUUCCAAACUGGAAUUUAAUCAAUACUUGCUCGUUAGGGCAAGUGUCUACCGGCAUCUGCUGAGCCUAGCAACUAAAGUAUUUAUGACCAGACAAACCUGUUUUCACUGUCCUCUGUCAUUGCUCCAUCUCAGGCAGACAGCCAUGCCUCAGACGGAAAGCUAAACCAUUCUGAGCACAGUCUGCAGAAACUGUAUUCCAGUAAUCCCAAAGGAACAGAGAUUCUAGGAGCCGAAAGCUCAUAUCACAAGGUAAUCGUUCUUCCUCCAGUGCACACUUUCACCUCUCAGACCUGUGGUGGGUUCACUGUGAAUUUCUUCACUCUCUACUGUGGGCAUUGUGACUGGCACAAGCAUUGUUGGGGAACCGGCAUGAGGUUUGAACAAUGUUUUUCUGUAAGGACAUCACCUCUGGGAAGGAGCUAAGGCACACACCAAGCACAAUCCACCCAACAGCUUGCUUAGUCUCUCUCCUUCUCUCGCCUGGAAAUCCCCUGGGGAGUGUCUCUCUGGUUCAUGUGUCUUGGUCUUAGGCACGUUCUGCAUUUGGUUGCAUUUAAAACUCUACUAUUGAAAGGCAUCAGUGACCGCGUCCCCCAAAGACACUCAGCACCAAUCAGAUCCUCUGGCUUGUCCUAAUUCCAUUCUUCCCACCCAGUAUGAGCAGUCCCAUUGAUAGCUGAGCCUCUUCAUCCCACUGAUGCUGGUGUCAUCACAUACAGUCGUCCCAUGUUGCUUCUGUGCCCACUGUCCCUACAGCUGUUGGGAGUGUGUAUGGACUUGCUUCUCCUCCCCUGGCACCCGCAGUACCCAGAAAAGUUAUUGAUGUCAAUGCUGGCCGCCACAUGGCUAUAUUGGAGGUGGAAAGGCUAGGGAUAGAGCAAUAGGACUAACAGGAAGAAGAAUGGGAAAUCCAGGCCACUGCAGAUGCCAACCUCUGGGCCACUCUAGAAGAAACAGAGAGUUCUUGUAGAGAGAUCCCCUCACAGGGGAUGCUGGUGGGUAGAAACAGUCUAGACCUGUGGUGAUUCUUUGAUGGUUGUAUAUGUUUGUUCAUAAUGGAUUUCUGGACUAGAUUAGCCUUGAACUCGCUAUGGAGCUGAGGGUGACAUUGAAAUUCUGAUCCUCUUCCCUCUACCUUUUGAGUGAUGGGAUUCCAAGUGUGUGCCAACUGAUUUGCGUGGUCCUGGGCAUCUGAACCAGGUCUGGGUGCUGGCUAGGCAAUACUGUAUCAAGUCUGGGUGCUUACUAGGCAACACUGUAUCAGAACUCUGAGAGUGCUACGUAACAUUUAUCAGGCCUGGAUGCAUUCUAGGCAACAUUGUACCAAAGGAACUCCAUUCUCAGGUCCUGAGCUUUGUGUUUAAAGAGUUCUUCCCCAGGAGUCUCACUCUCACCCAGGUUUAGGAGGAAGCUGUGGCCCCUUUGAAGUCAGUUCUUUUUCUGACUUCAGUGGCUACCACUCCAUAUGCAGACCCCAGGAUUAUGGUGGUCUCAGCCAGUACACUGGAAUGGGAAGGAUGUUCUGGCGGACUUGGGCACAUGUUGGGAGCACCAUUGCCCUACAGGCAUGGGACCAGCAUAGGGUAUUCUACUCUAUGACAGCUGUAACCUUGGGUUUCUGAAGACAUGGAUCAGAAGUUAAGGGGCUCAUGAACACAUUCUCAGGGAGGCAUUGGUGAUUCAAGACAGAACCCUGGGGAAGCAGGGUCAGGAAUGCCCUCAGUCUCUACCUAGUCUGAGCCUGUGUCACAGCACACACAUCACAGUUUCAGCAUCAUGGGGGUGACAGAAAGUUCCCCUGGAAAGAAAAAUACCACGUGGUGGAACCAUCCCAGAAUCAGCUUGUCCAGUGUAAUGUAGCCCCUCUGUCAAGAAAAUCCAGCCGUUUCUAUAGCAAUGUCUGGAGCAACCAAUCUGUUUGGGCUGCUGUCACAAAACGCCAUGGGCUAAAGUGGCACAACCUCCCUUGUCACUUCCUCAGAGACUGGUAAGUCCCCAAAUUUUAUUGCAUUGUGGUGAUCUCUCUCUCUCUCUCUCUCUCUCUCUCUCUCUCUCUCUCUCUCUCUCUCGUUUCUCCCUGUGGCUCAUAUAAAGACAGAGGGAGUUCUGCCCCCCUUCCUUUUCUUAUGAGGAUGCUAUGAGGGAUCCCCUUCCACGACAUCAUCUAAACCUGAUUGCAUCCUGUGGGACCCACCUUUGGUUAUCAUCACAUUGUAGAUGUGGGCUUCAGCAUGUGAUCGUGAGGUGAGACACACAUCCAGUCCAUACAACUCUCCAUCUGUGUUAUUCACUGCCAGAACUUCCUAGGCAUGUCCACAGAGCUCAUCAGAAGACAUGGAGAUUCCAUUUGAAACCGUGGACUCUGAUACCUACUGUAUAUGUUUGCCUGCAAAGGGAGACCCUUCUUUCUGGUCUACAAGGGUCUUUCCAGACCGCAGGAGAGGAAACAGAACAAUAAAGGGACACAGUGACCACCAGGGGCCACACCACAGUUUGCUUUAUUGGUGUCUAGCACAUGAGGAAGGGACCAGGAGCUGAAGGAUAUAGUGGAAAUGCUACAUUACUGGGCUGCCCUAAAAGAUUGGAGGAACCAUGGUCCUGCCAACACACAUGGAUUCUACCUUCCAAUGUACAAGAUAAUAUGUUCGUGCAGACAUGCCACCAUGACUGAUGUGCGAUCUUCACAGUCGACUUGACUAGAUAGAGAAUCACCAUGGAAACGCACUUCUGUGACGGAGUUUCUACAAGGGAUGCAAAGUGACUGGCUGUUUCAUGCCAAGAUGGGCUGUGCCCUCAAACUCAGACCUAGAAUAAAUGCUACUGUCCUUAAAUCACAGCAAGGAAAAAGAGUGACUGAUACCGGCACUAGCGUGUGGCACUUCCUUGGGGCCAGCCGUGGGAGCCUAGCACCCUACCUGGGUUUUUGUGGGUGAGGCUCAGAUUCGGUUUUUAUGGUUUCUCAUGCCCAUUAUCUGCAGAAGAUCUUGGCAAUGUUUACGGACGCUGGGGAGAUGAACUUUCUUCUGAAGACUCACACCUGGUGUUUUAAGUAGUCACAGCAUCUGUCUUUCCCAGCAUUCCCAGCUGGGCACAGAGCUGUGCACAGCCCGGGGGGAGAGGGGUCUGCACCCCCUGGAUGUGGUCUGAUGAACUUGCACAUCACAGAAGCUUCCGUCUCUCCCCUCCCCCUCCCAGACAGCACAUAAUUACCCCUCCGCUCCCAGCAGCUCCCACCUAGGAGGCGAAGGAGCUUGCCAGCACAGAGCUUUCCUGCCUAGAAUGGCUCCCACCUACGUCUUUCACAAACAAGGCGCAUAGUCAACCAUUAUGAAAGGAAAAACAAAAACAAACAAACAAAAAAAAAACGAAACCCAAGCGAUUAUUCGUGAAGGGCCAGAAUUUUAAUAAUACAGUAGGAGAAUUGUCCCUAGAGGAUAGCUGCUAAUAUGAACAAGAGCUUGCCUGAUUGUUUGGGGAUCAGAAAGGGACAAUUUUGAGUAGUAAACUUUAGAAAUUCAGCCCAAGGAGAGGACACCUUGCCUGGAGCUUAAGGUGAAACUUUGGGAAGUUCACAGAGAGCCUGAGAGAGUUCCUAGGGUAGGGAACACCACAGGGACUGGCUCCAGAAAGGUCAGAAGUCCUGAGCGUCCCUCCCCAGCUUCCAGGGGCAGAAGAGGACAGAGGGUAGGAGGAGAAUGUCAUGUGGUGGGAGAGGGUGAGAAGGAAGCGCUGACUGUUUCAUGUUGGAAGGUGAGCUUAGAAGAUCCGGCCAUUCACUUAAACCCAUUCUAAUGAUCACCCUCUGAGCUUUAAGCAUUGUCCUUGUUAUCUGACAUGGAAGGAUGAACCAGGCCCCGGGGAGUGGAGUGCUGCCCACAGAAUAAGAAAUGAAAUAAAUGGCAAAACCCUGGAAUGUGCUCAGAAAUAACAGCGAGCAGGGGGUGAUGUUGGGGUUGUUUGCCCUGGGAAAUGACAGGUCACUGGGCAUAUCUAGCUGGUACCCCCCAUGUGCCCUCUUUCUCUUUUCUCCCUCUCUUGCCCUCCCCACCUCUCCCAGGUUCAUUAUGGACCCGUCCAGAUGCCUCUGGCUCUACUCUCCCUCACAUCUGCAAUAAAAACCUCCUCAACCAUACUUGGAGUGGUUAUGUCCUCAUUUUCAGUCAGAAUCUGUCCUCUUGUAACUUUAUUCACUGUGUUCUUUUUCUAAAAGUCCUUUUUUUUUUUUUUCCUACCUUGGGCAGUACCUCUGCCUGGCAUCUUCUCCUAGCCACUGGACUAUAGAGUUAAGGGUUAUUCAGUAACCCUGGCAAUUAAAGCUUGGUGUCCCAAAGGGGCCUGUAAAGGCUGGAGGGUUAGGUGGUCCAGCAAGUAGCCUAAAAGGCAUACUGGAACGGCUAGCUGGAAGUGGUAAAAACUUGAAGGGUACCCUAGACAGGGUGGAUAAUGUAGGGAUGCUGGAGAGGGGUACCAAAUGGGAUGGAAGGAAGAUUAAAGCCACAGGCUAAGACAGGGACCUGCUACAAGGCCAUGCAUAGCUGAUAAGGGAUGAACUUGCUGAACAUUUUUGUCUGUAAAUAGAAGCACCUCAUCCCUGGAGACCUGGAGAAGAGAGGCCCACCAGUUGGUAGCCAACAGCAUAUCUGUUAAGGGGACUCACAGAAGUGUGGAGACUGCUGUUGUGGGAAAAUGCUUUUGUAUACUGUAAAGAUUUGUCACUUAUAUUGGUUUAAUAAAACACUGACUGGCCAGUAGCCAGGCAGGAAGUAUAGUUUGAGCAACCACACUAGAAGAAUUCUGGGAACAGGAAAGGCAGAGAUGGAAUCACCAGCCAGACACAGAGGAAACAAGAUGAGAAUGCCUCUCUGAGAAAAGGAACCAAGUCAUGAGGCUAAACAUAGACAAAAAUUGUCGAUUGCCUUGGGUGGGCUACUCAGUCUAGGGGUUUGUAACCCACCCUGCAAUCAGUUAUUCCAGGGUCACAGAGGGGCGCUACCUGGAAGGGAAUGAGCUAAGACAGAAGAAGGAGGCCAAGCAGAUUUGUCAAAGCCUCCGUUUAUUAGGGUCAUGGUUGCUGCUUAUAUAGGCCCUGCAUGAGGACUUGGUGGGCAGGGCAUGGGAUGCGCGUGGUCCCGGUCACGUAGGCCAGGUUACAUUCGGACGGGUAGGUCAGAAGUCACAAGUUGCCACACCUAGUUCCCUGGAUAGCUGGAAUGUGAGGCGGGUUCCGCUAACAGAUUAAUAGUUAAUUGGGUGAGGGGCAGGUUUUCUCAAUAGAACAUAAUUAUGGGUGUGGGGUUCUCUGCAGACUCCCUAGGGUGAUGGUUUCUGUAAUGAUUUUUAGAGGGGAAAUGGCUCCUGACAAAAAAUCAUGGCUAAUUUAGUUGUAAGAGUUAGUUAAUAAUAAGCCUGAGCUAAUAGGCCAAGCAGUUUAUGAUAAAUAUAAACAUAUAAACACAUAUGAUGAAUAUGUGUGUUUCUUUGGGACUGUACCAGCCAUGGGACUGGGUGGGACAGAAACUUCCAUCUAUAGACUGCCAUGCCAAGGAUAUGCAGGGAGAAUCUGGCAGGUAGCCAAGGUGGUGGUGAAAUGACUAGAAUCCAAAAUUUGCCCCUUGACCUGCAGGCUCAAGAACACAUAGAGACCAUAAUGGCAGUGCUUUAGCAUGGAGGGGCUAUAUCUGGCACUCAGGUGAGCUCUGAAAUUCUCUGUGCAACCUAGGAAGGAAAAGGCUAGCUCUCUGCUCCCGGGUGGCUUCCUGGAUGCUGCUGACCCUGGUUGAAAUUACAAUGGUCUCUUUAGGUGGUAGUGUGCCUGCUCUAAUUUAAGGUUUAAAAUAGUAAGAUUAUACUUCUAAGCUCCAGCUGAGUCCUGUAAGAGUUCAGGCUUUGAGGAUCCAUUCCCAUGUGCAUAUUUACAUAUGCAUUAAGGAGCUCCGUACUUUCAUGAUUUAUGUUGUUGGAAAUUCUAAAUGGUUACUGGGGGUUUUAGGGUAAAAGUCUGGGCUCUGGGCUCAGUCUGGAGUGAUGGCUCAGGGGUUAAGAGCACUGACUGCUCUUUCAGAGGACCCUGGUUUAAUUUCCAGCACCUACAUGGCAGCUCACAACUGUUGGUAACUCCAGUUCCAGGGGACCUGACAUCCUUCCACAGACUUACAUGCAGACAAAGCCCCAGUGCACAUGAAAUAAAAUAAAUAACUUAAAAAAAACAUUUUCAAAAAGUUUGGGCUCACCGGGCGAUGGUGGCGCACGCCUUUAAUCCCAGCACUCGGGAGGCAGAGGCAGGCGGAUCUCUGUGAGUUCGAGACCAGCCUGGUCUACAGAGCUAGUUCCAGGACAGGCUCCAAAGCCACAGAG
Long non-coding RNA from Alexandromys fortis (reed vole), 7061 nucleotides. RefSeq lists it as uncharacterized. The record is from RefSeq and is a predicted model, not a curated record. The transcript is spliced from 4 exons. NCBI's taxonomy places the organism in Eukaryota, Metazoa, Chordata, Mammalia, Rodentia, Cricetidae.